AGAGGUCAUGCCUGCCCUGUGACCAUAAGUUUAACGGCCGCGGUAUCUUAACCGUGCAAAGGUAGCGCAAUCACUUGUCCUUUAAAUGAGGACCCGUAUGAAUGGCAAUACGAGGGUUUAACUGUCUCCUUUUUCCAGUCAAUGAAAUUGAUCUCCCCGUGCAGAAGCGGGGAUACAUCCAUAAGACGAGAAGACCCUAUGGAGCUUUAGGCACUAAAACAGACCAUAUUAAAUACCCUAAAACAAGUAGAUGUAAAACUUAUUGUAUCCUGUUUAUAUAUGCCUUUGGUUGGGGCGACCGCGGGGAAACAAAAAACCCCCACGUGGACCAGGAGCACCCCCUUAUACCCCUCCCACAACCUAGAACUACAAUCCUAGUUAACAGAACUUCUGACCAUAAAUGAUCCGGCACUCAAACCGAUCAACGGACCAAGUUACCCUAGGGAUAACAGCGCAAUCCCCUUUUAGAGCCCAUAUCGACAAGGGGGUUUACGACCUCGAUGUUGGAUCAGGACAUCCUAUUGGUGUAACCGCUAUUAAGGG
Molecule: ribosomal RNA, 543 nt
Filed under: Chaetobranchopsis orbicularis
Lineage: Eukaryota; Metazoa; Chordata; Actinopteri; Cichliformes; Cichlidae
Description: partial large subunit ribosomal RNA
Rfam family: Bacterial large subunit ribosomal RNA
Source: RNAcentral